This 110-nucleotide small RNA is filed under the name Epilithonimonas lactis. RNAcentral's name for it is "Chryseobacterium halperniae Flavo-1 RNA". It matches the Rfam family "Flavo-1 RNA". The record is from RNAcentral. Lineage: Bacteria; Pseudomonadati; Bacteroidota; Flavobacteriia; Flavobacteriales; Weeksellaceae.
GCGAAGCUGCGUAAGGGAUGGUAGUGGAAAUCCUUUUUGUCUUUAUCAAAUCGUCUUUCGCAGACCAAUGUUGAAUGACAAAAAGAUUGCAGCGGACAGCCCGACCCGAG